CACUCUUCUGCAGUUUGUCCCUGGGAGAAUCCCAAACACCCACCAGAAAGCCAAUAAAUCCCAAUCGUCAGCACUACUCAAACGGUUGUCUGGAAAUUAAAUGUCACCCAGGAAGAACAUGGCUUGGAGAGCUCCUCACUCAGCAGGCAGAGGCCAGGGGCAGAGGAAGAGAGCUUCUGUGAGCACAGGCUGAAAGCUGCAUCCAAAAGCGGACAUGGAAAGUCACCUAUCCCACCUUCAGGCACGAACACCAGCAGCAGUCAUACCUCUGGGGCAGCCUGAUGACUGAACGCACCAUCAAGCAAGGACGGUAGAUUCUGCAGAGGAGCAGCUCGUCAGACUCACCA
Long non-coding RNA from Fukomys damarensis (Damara mole-rat), 347 nucleotides. RefSeq lists it as uncharacterized. The transcript is spliced from 3 exons. Lineage: Eukaryota; Metazoa; Chordata; Mammalia; Rodentia; Bathyergidae. The record is from RefSeq and is a predicted model, not a curated record.